AGGAUGUGGCUCAAACGGCAGUUACUUAAACUCUGAGCCCCAGGUUCUCAGCGGAUCUGCUUCUUUGCACCUCGUCCAUCCUUCCUCUUGGAAAUCUG
Molecule: long non-coding RNA, 98 nt
Filed under: Cavia porcellus (domestic guinea pig)
Lineage: Eukaryota; Metazoa; Chordata; Mammalia; Rodentia; Caviidae
Description: lncRNA (ENSCPOG00000033282.1)
Source: RNAcentral